This 99-nucleotide transfer RNA is filed under the name Penicillium nordicum. It matches the Rfam family "tRNA". From Rfam's summary of the family: Transfer RNA (tRNA) molecules are approximately 80 nucleotides in length. The record is from Rfam by way of RNAcentral. Lineage: Eukaryota; Fungi; Ascomycota; Eurotiomycetes; Eurotiales; Aspergillaceae.
GCACUGGUAGUAUAGUGGUUAAUACUUUGCUUUCCCACCUUCCUAUUUAGGAAACCUUUGGACCAAGCAACAGCCCGGGUUCGAAUCCCGGCCAGUGCA